RNAcentral lists this ribosomal RNA (207 nucleotides) under uncultured bacterium. RNAcentral's name for it is "partial 16S ribosomal RNA". It matches the Rfam family "Bacterial small subunit ribosomal RNA", at positions 1286 to 1500 of the family's 1533-position model. The record is from RNAcentral.
UCUCAGUUCGGAUUGUAGUCUGCAACUCGACUACAUGAAGCUGGAUUCGCUAGUAAUCGCGCAUCAGCCAUGGCGCGGUGAAUACGUUCCCGGGCCUUGUACACACCGCCCGUCAAGCCAUGGAAGCCGGGGGCGCUUGAAGUGCGUUGCCGCAAGGCGCGCCCUAGAGCGAAACCGGUGACUGGGGCUAAGUCGUAACAAGGUAUC